CCGACGCUAGAAGUAUGGCGCUACCAAAGGGAGACCACUACAAUGCGAGAUGGCCGCAUGGAUCUUCGGAAAGAAAGAUCGCUCGAACCAACCAUCGACGUGAAAUAAAAGAGAAAUGCAGCGUCCAAUCUUUUAGCACAACUGGACAUCAGAAGAAUGAAUGACAAUUUAAAGCGAGCCAGAAGUUUUGCUCAAAGUCAGAACCGACCAACAAGCAUCGUAAGGGAAAUGUUGCAUAAGGUUUGAAGCUGUUCUUCUAGAUGAGGAUAUGAGUGUUGUAGACCAGAGAGGUGAUUAAAAAAUAGUCUGGGGACUGCAGAUUUUGAAAAAAGAAAACGUUACAUCUGUAGACCCUCCCAAGACAAAGUGGAGAGGGGUGCAUGAGGAGAGCUGGAGAAAAUGGAAACAGCAGCUGCAGGCAUGGCUUCCUUAAGAGGCUUGGUAAUUAAGAAAGAGCUUGCAGAUGAUUUCUCAUACCCUACUGAGUCUUCAUUCUCAGCUCAAUCACCAUCAACAGCAAAUGGAAUGGUCUCAGAAUACUGCACCGCAAAGCUCAAGUGGGGACAAACAGAAAACUGUACCUGUGAGUUUUCCACUAAAAGACUGAAAACUAGUAACAUUGUUGAAGAAGGUGAAGGAUAUACAAUAGAGAUUAAUCCAAGCUGGAAGGAAGAGUUAUCUGAUUUUUCACAGUGUGAAACAGGUUCGGGACAUCGUCUAAUAAAGCCAGAAUUAGAUUUGUAUACAAAUACAGAAUCUACCUGCAUGGAGUCUGACAAGAAACGGCAUGAUGAUAUGAUGACAGUGCUACGGUAAAGACUUAAAUGGGUCACUUAUCAUGCAAAUGUAGAUAGGGAACUAAGAUGCUAAAGCAGCCAAGGGUAAAUGAAAUACCAGAAGGAACACCAUCAUCUAAUUCCAUUCUACCAGCAAUUAGUCGAGAAGCACCAGUAGCUGACUCCAUUCUGACAACAAUCAGUCAAGCAGCAACAGCAUCUAACGUUCUAUCAACAACUAGUCAAGCUUCGAAAGACAGCUCUGUUUUUAGGGAGAGUUCCAGCCCUUUGAGGUUGUUGUCAGAUAAGGAUCCAACAUGUGUAUCUCCUGGUGAGGACUUGCAUUUCAGUGAAGACAGCUGUAUUAUAGGUAUGUUUGAUUCUGCUGUUGGACGAGAUGGCCAGUCUAAAGUACCUUUACAUGAGAACACCAGGACCUCAGACAAGCAUCUUCUCAAGACAAAAGUUUCAAAGAAGAAAAGCACAAAGUUUUUAAAAAAUGGUGUCACAUCAGAUGAUCUUUACAAGAAGUUUCUCCUGAGUAGUAUUAGGUGCAAUGAAUCUUACAUAGGAUUAGAGGAGUUUAAACAGAAAAAAAUGAAGCUUGAAAUUGAACUGCUGAAAAUGCAGAUUCAGCAACUUGAGAGUGAAUCAUGCUGUGAACAAGAUACUUGAAAUUUUUCUGACUCGGACUUACACCUGUGGGAAAUCAUCAUAGUGAAUGUUGAAAGAUCAGGUAUCCAGCUUACUUUGCAUUUGCCUUUGUGGUUCCAGGUGCUAAAAUGCUUCAACUAGUAAGACAAUACUUGAAAGAUAUUGCAAAGAAUCUGUUGAUGCAUUCUUACUGGGGGUUACAGUAAAACCACAAUAUUGUUAUUAAUAGAAAUCAUUUGGCAGCUUAAAAAUGAUUUUCUUUUUGUCACUAAACCAAAACUUUGCUUUAGUUUUUUUUUCAGAUUUUACUGGGGGUAUUUUUUUUUUUUGAUUUUGGAUUUGCAGUCAAUAUGAAACCAAAUAUUGCACUGACUAAACCUGGAAUGCAUUGCAGAUAUGCAUACUUGUUUUGUUUUUUUAAUUAGAGGAAAGUGUUUUGUAAAAAAUAAAUAAGAACAAUUAUAACUUACAAGAAACACCUUAGUAAUUACAGUUGCAAAUUUAUUUCCAAUAUCUGAUGUGUCACUAGGAACAGUAAUCAAAACCCUGAGAAAAUUUCUAUUGUUUUUUAAAAAAGGUAAGAUCAAAAUCAAACGUAAAUCACGUUGACUGUAAAGUGCAAUUUUUGAAUGACUUGAAAUAUUUAAAUAAAUUCAGAAAACGUUCGUGUCUUCUUCAUUAAAACAUUACAGUUA
Molecule: unclassified non-coding RNA, 2125 nt
Filed under: Pomacea canaliculata
Lineage: Eukaryota; Metazoa; Mollusca; Gastropoda; Architaenioglossa; Ampullariidae
Description: uncharacterized LOC112557942, transcript variant X2
Source: RNAcentral